AUACGGAGGGUGCGAGCGUUAAUCGGAAUUACUGGGCGUAAAGCGUACGUAGGCGGUCCGUUAAGUUAGAUGUGAAAGCCCCGGGCUUAACCUGGGAACUGCAUUUAAAACUGGCGGACUAGAGUUGAGUAGAGGGGAGUGGAAUUUCAGGUGUAGUGGUGAAAUGCGUAGAGAUCUGAAGGAACACCAGUGGCGAAGGCGACUCCCUGGACCCGAACUGACGCUGAGGUACGAAAGCGUGGGUAGCAAACGGGAUUAGAAACCCCAGUAGUCC
Molecule: ribosomal RNA, 274 nt
Filed under: uncultured bacterium
Lineage: Bacteria
Description: partial 16S ribosomal RNA
Rfam family: Bacterial small subunit ribosomal RNA
Source: RNAcentral